RNAcentral lists this ribosomal RNA (1775 nucleotides) under Staphylococcus epidermidis. RNAcentral describes it as "bacterial LSU rRNA". It matches the Rfam family "Bacterial large subunit ribosomal RNA", at positions 1153 to 2925 of the family's 2925-position model. Lineage: Bacteria; Bacillati; Bacillota; Bacilli; Caryophanales; Staphylococcaceae. The record is from RNAcentral.
GUGACACUGCGCCGAAAAUGUACCGGGGCUAAACAUAUUACCGAAGCUGUGGAUUGUCCUUUGGACAAUGGUAGGAGAGCGUUCUAAGGGCGUCGAAGCAUGAUCGCAAGGACAUGUGGAGCGCUUAGAAGUGAGAAUGCCGGUGUGAGUAGCGAAAGACGGGUGAGAAUCCCGUCCACCGAUUGACUAAGGUUUCCAGAGGAAGGCUCGUCCGCUCUGGGUUAGUCGGGUCCUAAGCUGAGGCCGACAGGCGUAGGCGAUGGAUAACAGGUUGAUAUUCCUGUACCACCUAGUAUCGUUUUAAUCGAUGGGGGGACGCAGUAGGAUAGGCGAAGCGUGCUGUUGGAGUGCACGUCCAAGCAGUAAGGCUGAGUGUUAGGCAAAUCCGGCACUCAUAAGGCUGAGCUGUGAUGGGGAGAGGAAAUUGUUUCCUCGAGUCGUUGAUUUCACACUGCCGAGAAAAGCCUCUAGAUAGAUAACAGGUGCCCGUACCGCAAACCGACACAGGUAGUCAAGAUGAGAAUUCUAAGGUGAGCGAGCGAACUCUCGUUAAGGAACUCGGCAAAAUGACCCCGUAACUUCGGGAGAAGGGGUGCUCUUUAGGGUUCACGCCCAGAAGAGCCGCAGUGAAUAGGCCCAAGCGACUGUUUAUCAAAAACACAGGUCUCUGCUAAACCGUAAGGUGAUGUAUAGGGGCUGACGCCUGCCCGGUGCUGGAAGGUUAAGAGGAGUGGUUAGCUUCUGCGAAGCUACGAAUCGAAGCCCCAGUAAACGGCGGCCGUAACUAUAACGGUCCUAAGGUAGCGAAAUUCCUUGUCGGGUAAGUUCCGACCCGCACGAAAGGCGUAACGAUUUGGGCACUGUCUCAACGAGAGACUCGGUGAAAUCAUAGUACCUGUGAAGAUGCAGGUUACCCGCGACAGGACGGAAAGACCCCGUGGAGCUUUACUGUAGCCUGAUAUUGAAAUUCGGCACAGCUUGUACAGGAUAGGUAGGAGCCUUUGAAACGUGAGCGCUAGCUUACGUGGAGGCGUUGGUGGGAUACUACCCUAGCUGUGUUGGCUUUCUAACCCGCACCACUUAUCGUGGUGGGAGACAGUGUCAGGCGGGCAGUUUGACUGGGGCGGUCGCCUCCUAAAAGGUAACGGAGGCGCUCAAAGGUUCCCUCAGAAUGGUUGGAAAUCAUUCAUAGAGUGUAAAGGCAUAAGGGAGCUUGACUGCGAGACCUACAAGUCGAGCAGGGUCGAAAGACGGACUUAGUGAUCCGGUGGUUCCGCAUGGAAGGGCCAUCGCUCAACGGAUAAAAGCUACCCCGGGGAUAACAGGCUUAUCUCCCCCAAGAGUUCACAUCGACGGGGAGGUUUGGCACCUCGAUGUCGGCUCAUCGCAUCCUGGGGCUGUAGUCGGUCCCAAGGGUUGGGCUGUUCGCCCAUUAAAGCGGUACGCUAGCUGGGUUCAGAACGUCGUGAGACAGUUCGGUCCCUAUCCGUCGUGGGCGUAGGAAAUUUGAGAGGAGCUGUCCUUAGUACGAGAGGACCGGGAUGGACAUACCUCUGGUGUACCAGUUGUCGUGCCAACGGCAUAGCUGGGUAGCUAUGUAUGGACGGGAUAAGUGCUGAAAGCAUCUAAGCAUGAAGCCCCCCUCAAGAUGAGAUUUCCCAACUUCGGUUAUAAGAUCCCUCGAAGAUGACGAGGUUAAUAGGUUCGAGGUGGAAGCGUGGUGACACGUGGAGCUGACGAAUACUAAUCGAUCGAAGACUUAAUCAAUUUUUAAA